CGCAAGCCUGACGGAGCAAGACCGCGUGAGGGAGGAAGGCUCUUGGGUUGUAAACCUCUUUUAUCAGGGAAGAAGCUCUGACGGUACCUGAUGAAUCAGCAUCGGCUAACUCCGUGCCAGCAGCCGCGGUAAUACGGAGGAUGCAAGCGUUAUCCGGAUUUAUUGGGCGUAAAGCGUCCGCAGGUGGUUUGACAAGUCUGCUGUUAAAGCGCGAGGCUUAACCUCGUACAGGCGGUGGAAACUGUCAGACUAGAGUAUGGUAGGGGUAGCGGGAAUUCCCAGUGUAGCGGUGAAAUGCGUAGAUAUUGGGAAGAACACCAGCGGCGAAAGCGCGCUACUGGGCCAUAACUGACACUCAUGGACGAAAGCUAGGGGAGCG
Molecule: ribosomal RNA, 379 nt
Filed under: Leptolyngbya sp. CCMEE 6034
Lineage: Bacteria; Bacillati; Cyanobacteriota; Cyanophyceae; Leptolyngbyales; Leptolyngbyaceae
Description: bacterial SSU rRNA
Rfam family: Bacterial small subunit ribosomal RNA
Source: RNAcentral